GUAGGGCGGAUGGACUAAGAGACACUGGGAGGUGGAAUUGGAGACACGGAAAUCAGAGACACCGAGUGCUGGGAUAGAAGAGGGACUAGGUGACCUGGAGAGCAGUGGCCAAACAGGGAGGGGACUUACUGGGCUGAGCGGAUCAGAAUUCAAGCAAGGUUAGUGAGAACCUUGUCUUCAGGCUUUUGUCUAAGUGCCCCUCGCCAGAGCCUCAUGUGCUCACAGACGUGGCUUUUGAAAGGAGUUUGGGUCAGGGGGCUGCUGUAGCUAAACGUGUUGUUAGGAGGUGGGGCCAGGUGGGGCCUGGUCGGAAGAGGAGGAUCACUAGACCUUGCCUCUCUAACCCUAUCUAACCUUCCCUCCGAGCUACCCCUUCUCUCUCUGCUUCCCCUCCACGAAGCCCCUCUGCCCUGCUAUUUCUUUGGAGCCAGCAAACCAUGGACCGAAACACCUGCCAUUGGAGAAUCUGGAUCUUGACAUUCACAGUAUUCUGCAGUAUGCAAGACACAAGUUUCACCUUGGAUGGAGACUCAUUUAUCCUUCAUAUAAACUCUAUGGAGUACACCGUGAGAUUUGAUUAUGUAAUUUACCACAGCAAUACAUUUGUGAGUUCUUUAAAGUAGGAAAUUUUUGGUGAAUCCUGAGGACACAUCUUUUAAGAAUCAUAUUUUGGGGUCCUGAGUCACGCGGAAGACCCCAAAUCACCCCACUGCACACAGGCAGGUCUGCCCACACCCUGCCGAGGUCCCCAGUCACGCGG
This 760-nucleotide long non-coding RNA is filed under the name Heterocephalus glaber (naked mole-rat). Its description in RNAcentral is "lncRNA (ENSHGLG00100041367.1)". The record is from RNAcentral. Lineage: Eukaryota; Metazoa; Chordata; Mammalia; Rodentia; Bathyergidae.